Cotesia glomerata is the source of this 935-nucleotide long non-coding RNA. RefSeq lists it as uncharacterized. The record is from RefSeq and is a predicted model, not a curated record. The transcript has 3 exons. Lineage: Eukaryota; Metazoa; Arthropoda; Insecta; Hymenoptera; Braconidae.
CAAAUUUUGAAUCUUAUAAUUGUUUAUCGGUUUCCUUCGGACCUUUAUGAAUUUCAAUGUCUUACUGUAUGCCGAGUUUUACUCUAAUAAUAUUGAAGUUCGAAACUAAUUUCACACAAAACGGGCAACUAUUUAAGCUAGACAAUUACCCGAGCAAUUUAUGGCGGGUGUAAGUAAAAAUAAAAUUAUAGAGAUAGUUUCUUUGCUUUACCAUCUACCAUCGAUGCACUAUUUUUUGCAUUAUUAUUCAACUGAACGACGUAAUCAGUAAAAGCAAUAGAAAAAAGUAACGAUAAAGAUAAAAUUGCAUCUUUGAAAUGCGAUGGUGAGACGGUUAGUCUUUUUAACCCGCAUUUCUUUAUCAUCAGUAUACUUAUAGAUAAAUGAUAAUUGGAAGGAGCCCGGAAAGAAUCGAAGUAGCGAAGAAGCAUGAUUAAGGUGAUGAACUUGGACAAUUUUAACAUUCUCACCAGACCAGUAAAUCAACAAUCAAUGCAAAUGGAUUUAAAAUAAAGACAAAUAAAAACAACAGCCGAUCACGAAUCAGAACAACGUAGCACCGAUUGACGGGAGCCUACCUGCAGAGGGCACUUGCAGCUCGGACAUGGUGGUGGUUCUACCCAUUCAUAAGGUGAAAGACGCGCCACAAUCCAAAUUGACAUGGAAACUACAACAUAUGCACCCAGCAUCGAUAGCCAGACCUCCACAGCUAGAGGGUUCAUAAAUGAGAAGAGUCGAGAAGGCGCGCGUUUGGUGGCCUGAAUCAUGUACACGAAUAAUGUAAAGCAACUUGAGGAGAGCGCUUUUCCAUCGGUAUAGUCUAUAAACACGACCCUAAAAAAAGUAUGAUAAAUAAAACAGGAUAUUAAAUUUUAAUGGAAGGAUCAAAGAGAGUCGGAGUUAUGGGCGAUGGCUCGAGGACAUGAUAUACCUUG